RNAcentral lists this ribosomal RNA (396 nucleotides) under uncultured bacterium. Its description in RNAcentral is "bacterial SSU rRNA". It matches the Rfam family "Bacterial small subunit ribosomal RNA", at positions 490 to 890 of the family's 1533-position model. The record is from RNAcentral.
GGACCGGCUAAUCCGUGCCAGCAGCCGCGGUAAUACGGAAGGUCCGGGCGUUAUCCGGAUUUAUUGGGUUUAAAGGGAGCGUAGGCCGUGGAUUAAGUGUGUUGUGAAAUGUGGACGCUCAACGUCUGAGUUGCAGCGCAUACUGGUUCACUUGAGUCCGUGCAGCGUUGGCGGAACUCGUCGUGUAGCGGUGAAAUGCUUAGAUAUGACGAAGAACUCCGAUCGCGAAGGCAGCCAACGGGAUCGUCACUGACGCUUAAGCUCGAGAGUGCGGGUAUCGAACAGGAUUAGAUACCCUGGUAGUCCGCACGGUAAACGAUGGAUGCUCGCUAUCGGCGCUUGGCGUCGGUGGCAACGCGAAAGCUUUAAGCAUCCCACCUGGGGAGUACGCCGGCA